UACGGAGGGGACUAGCGUUGUUCGGAAUCAUUGGGUUUAAAGGGUCCGUAGGCGGGAUAAUAAGUCAGUGGUGAAAGUCUGCAGCUUAACUGUAGAACUGCCAUUGAUACUGUUGUCCUUGAGUAAUUAUGAAGUGGUUAGAAUAUGUAGUGUAGCGGUGAAAUGCAUAGAUAUUACAUAGAAUACCGAUUGCGAAGGCAGAUCACUAAUAAUUUACUGACGCUGAUGGACGAAAGCGUAGGUAGCGAACAGG
Molecule: unclassified non-coding RNA, 253 nt
Filed under: uncultured Flavobacteriaceae bacterium
Lineage: Bacteria; Pseudomonadati; Bacteroidota; Flavobacteriia; Flavobacteriales; Flavobacteriaceae
Description: contains 16S-23S intergenic spacer region
Rfam family: Bacterial small subunit ribosomal RNA
Source: RNAcentral